GAGCUGGUCAAUAUCUGCUCUCCCAGUCGUAAACUGUGUGAGCGUCCCCUAAUGCUGCUGCUGUCCAGGGGACUCCUCUGAACAGAGCCAU
Etheostoma spectabile (orangethroat darter) is the source of this 91-nucleotide long non-coding RNA. RefSeq lists it as uncharacterized. The transcript has 3 exons. NCBI's taxonomy places the organism in Eukaryota, Metazoa, Chordata, Actinopteri, Perciformes, Percidae. The record is from RefSeq and is a predicted model, not a curated record.